Molecule: non-coding RNA, 58 nt
Organism: Biomphalaria glabrata
Lineage: Eukaryota; Metazoa; Mollusca; Gastropoda; Planorbidae
Source: Rfam
GUGGCUGAGCGGUAAAGCGCUUGGCUUCCGAACCGGGGUCCCGGGUUCGAAUCCUGGC